UGGGGAAUUUUGGACAAUGGGGGCAACCCUGAUCCAGCCAUUCCGCGUGAGUGAAGAAGGCCUUCGGGUUGUAAAGCUCUUUCAGCAGGAACGAAACGGUACGCGCUAACAUCGUGUGCUAAUGACGGUACCUGCAGAAGAAGCACCGGCUAACUACGUGCCAGCAGCCGCGGUAAUACGUAGGGUGCGAGCGUUAAUCGGAAUUACUGGGCGUAAAGCGUGCGCAGGCGGAUUGUUAAGCAAGACGUGAAAUCCCCGGGCUUAACCUGGGAAUGGCGUUUUGAACUGGCAGUCUAGAGUGUGUCAGAGGGGGGUGGAAUUCCACGUGUAGCAGUGAAAUGCGUAGAGAUGUGGAGGAACACCAAUGGCGAAGGCAGCCCCCUGGGAUAACACUGACGCUCAUGUACGAAAGCGUGGGUAGCAAACAGG
Molecule: ribosomal RNA, 429 nt
Filed under: uncultured bacterium
Lineage: Bacteria
Description: bacterial SSU rRNA
Rfam family: Bacterial small subunit ribosomal RNA
Source: RNAcentral